AGUUUGAUCCUGGCUCAGGACGAACGCUGGCGGCGUGCUUAACACAUGCAAGUCGAACGGAGCGCUCAUGAAAGAGUUUUCGGACAAUGGAUUGAGUUGCUUAGUGGCGGACUGGUGAGUAACGCGUGAGGAACCUGCCUUCCAGAGGGGGACAACAGUUGGAAACGACUGCUAAUACCGCAUGACGCAUGACUGUGGCAUCACAGACAUGUCAAAGAUUUAUCGCUGGAAGAUGGCCUCGCGUCUGAUUAGCUAGUUGGUGAGGUAACGGCCCACCAAGGCGACGAUCAGUAGCCGGACUGAGAGGUUGGCCGGCCACAUUGGGACUGAGAUACGGCCCAGACUCCUACGGGAGGCGGCAGUGGGGAAUAUUGGGCAAUGGACGCAAGUCUGACCCAGCAACGCCGCGUGAAGGAAGAAGGCUUUCGGGUUGUAAACUUCUUUUAAGGGGGAAGAGCAGAAGACGGUACCCCUUGAAUAAGCCACGGCUAACUACGUG
Molecule: ribosomal RNA, 499 nt
Filed under: uncultured Oscillibacter sp.
Lineage: Bacteria; Bacillati; Bacillota; Clostridia; Eubacteriales; Oscillospiraceae
Description: bacterial SSU rRNA
Rfam family: Bacterial small subunit ribosomal RNA
Source: RNAcentral